RNAcentral lists this transfer RNA (63 nucleotides) under Trimusculus reticulatus. Its description in RNAcentral is "tRNA-Gln". The record is from RNAcentral. Lineage: Eukaryota; Metazoa; Mollusca; Gastropoda; Ellobiida; Trimusculidae.
UUUCUUUCGGUGUUUGGCACAGGAAGGUUUGAGCUUCCUAGAGGGAAAGAUUCCCAUAGAAAA